UGUGAGGGCGAUCUGGCUGCAACAUCUGUCACCCAACUGAUCGCCAUGGUUGACUCGGCUGAUCUGACUGACUAGGCGGGUGUCCCCUUCAUCCCUCAUUGCUCCCAUUGCUCCAUGUGCGUCCCUCCCGAAGCUGCGAGCUCAGUGGAAGAGGACGGCCUUCCCCGAAUAGAGACGGACCAGUCUUCGGUCUUCGGUUGAGGGUAUACGAGUAGCUGCACUCCCCUGCUAGAACCUCCAAACAAGCAAAAUUUGAAAUAAAAAUAUAAAAUACCUGGGAGUCAGCUUUAAAAUAAAGUGGAAAAUUUAUGCACUAUCAGUUUUUAGACAUUGCUAACAAAAGAAAU
RNAcentral lists this small nuclear RNA (347 nucleotides) under Sorex araneus (European shrew). Its description in RNAcentral is "7SK RNA (ENSSARG00000017554.1)". It matches the Rfam family "7SK RNA". Rfam says of the family: 7SK was discovered as an abundant small nuclear RNA in the mid-70s but a possible function has only recently been suggested. Two independent studies have found that 7SK RNA binds the CDK9/cyclin T complex (known as elongation factor P-TEFb). Lineage: Eukaryota; Metazoa; Chordata; Mammalia; Eulipotyphla; Soricidae. The record is from RNAcentral.